GAUGAACGCUAGCGGGAGGCCUAACACAUGCAAGCCGAGCGGUAUUUGUCUUUCGGGACAGAGAGAGCGGCGUACGGGUGCGGAACACGUGUGCAACCUGCCUUUAUCUGGGGGAUAGCCUUUCGAAAGGAAGAUUAAUACCCCAUAAUAUAAUGAAUGGCAUCAUUUAUUAUUGAAAACUCCGGUGGAUAGAGAUGGGCACGCGCAAGAUUAGAUAGUUGGUGAGGUAACGGCUCACCAAGUCGAUGAUCUUUAGGGGGCCUGAGAGGGUGCUCACCCGCACUGGUACUGAGACACGGACCAGACUCCUACGGAAGACAGCAGUGAGGGAGAUUGGACAAUGGGUUAGCGCCUGAUCCAGCCAUCCCGCGUGAAGGACGACGGCCCUAUGAGUUGUAAACUUCUUUUGUACAGGGAUAAACCUACUCUCGUGAGAGUAGCUGAAGGUACUGUACGAAUAAGCACCGGCUAACUCCGUGCCAGCCGCCGCGGUAA
RNAcentral lists this ribosomal RNA (495 nucleotides) under uncultured bacterium. RNAcentral's name for it is "partial 16S ribosomal RNA". It matches the Rfam family "Bacterial small subunit ribosomal RNA", at positions 28 to 523 of the family's 1533-position model. The record is from RNAcentral.